Molecule: ribosomal RNA, 497 nt
Filed under: uncultured bacterium
Lineage: Bacteria
Description: partial 16S ribosomal RNA
Rfam family: Bacterial small subunit ribosomal RNA
Source: RNAcentral
GAUGAACGCUGGCGGCGUGCCUAAUACAUGCAAGCCGAGCGAACAGAUGAGGAGCUUGCUCCUCUGACGUUAGCGGCGGACGGGUGAGUAACACGUGGAUAACCUACCUAUAAGACUGGGAUAACUUCGGGAAACCGGAGCUAAUACCGGGUAAUAUAUUGAACCGCAUGGUUCAAUAGUGAAAGGCGGUUUUGCUGUCACUUAUAGAUGGAUCCGCGCCGCAUUAGCUAGUUGGUAAGGUAACGGCUUACCAAGGCAACGAUGCGUAGCCGACCUGAGAGGGUGAUCGGCCACACUGGAACUGAGACACGGUCCAGACUCCUACGGGAGGCAGCAGUAGGGAAUCUUCCGCAAUGGGCGAAAGCCUGACGGAGCAACGCCGCGUGAGUGAUGAAGGUCUUCGGAUCGUAAAACUCUGUUAUUAGGGAAGAACAAAUGUGUAAGUAACUAUGCACGUCUUGACGGUACCUAAUCAGAAAGCCACGGCUAACUACGUG